This 127-nucleotide ribosomal RNA is filed under the name Corynebacterium lujinxingii. RNAcentral's name for it is "partial 16S ribosomal RNA". It matches the Rfam family "Bacterial small subunit ribosomal RNA", at positions 1409 to 1533 of the family's 1533-position model. Lineage: Bacteria; Bacillati; Actinomycetota; Actinomycetes; Mycobacteriales; Corynebacteriaceae. The record is from RNAcentral.
AGUUGGUAACACCCGAAGCCAGUGGCCUGUAAUGGGAGCUGUCGAAGGUGGGAUCGGCGAUUGGGACGAAGUCGUAACAAGGUAGCCGUACCGGAAGGUGCGGCUGGAUCACCUCCUUUCUAAGGAG